RNAcentral lists this ribosomal RNA (497 nucleotides) under uncultured bacterium. Its description in RNAcentral is "partial 16S ribosomal RNA". It matches the Rfam family "Bacterial small subunit ribosomal RNA", at positions 28 to 507 of the family's 1533-position model. The record is from RNAcentral.
GAUGAACGCUGGCGGCGUGCCUAAUACAUGCAAGUCGAGCGAACAGACGAGGAGCUUGCUCCUCUGACGUUAGCGGCGGACGGGUGAGUAACACGUGGAUAACCUACCUAUAAGACUGGGAUAACUUCGGGAAACCGGAGCUAAUACCGGAUAACAUGUUGAACCGCAUGGUUUAACAGUGAAAGACGGUCUUGCUGUCACUUAUAGAUGGAUCCGCGCCGCAUUAGCUAGUUGGUAAGGUAACGGCUUACCAAGGCAACGAUGCGUAGCCGACCUGAGAGGGUGAUCGGCCACACUGGAACUGAGACACGGUCCAGACUCCUACGGGAGGCAGCAGUAGGGAAUCUUCCGCAAUGGGCGAAAGCCUGACGGGGCAACGCCGCGUGAGUGAAGAAGGUCUUCGGAUCGUAAAACUCUGUUAUUAGGGAAGAACAAAUGUGUAAGUAACUAUGCACGUCUUGACGGUACCUAAUCAGAAAGCCACGGCUAACUACGUU